RNAcentral lists this ribosomal RNA (253 nucleotides) under uncultured bacterium. Its description in RNAcentral is "partial 16S ribosomal RNA". It matches the Rfam family "Bacterial small subunit ribosomal RNA", at positions 524 to 776 of the family's 1533-position model. The record is from RNAcentral.
UACGAAGGGGGCUAGCGUUGUUCGGAAUUACUGGGCGUAAAGCGCGUGUAGGCGGGCCGUUAAGUCGGGGGUGAAAGCCCAGAGCUCAACUCUGGAACUGCCUUCGAUCCUGGCGGCCUGGAGCAUGAUAGAGGCGAGUGGAAUUGCGAGUGUAGAGGUGAAAUUCGUAGAUAUUCGCAGGAACACCAGUGGCGAAGGCGACUCGCUGGAUCAUUGCUGACGGUGAGACGCGAAAGCGUGGGGAGCAAACAGG